AAAUUGAAGAGUUUGAUCAUGGCUCAGAUUGAACGCUGGCGGCAGGCCUAACACAUGCAAGUCGAACGGUAGCACAGAGAGCUUGCUCUCGGGUGACGAGUGGCGGACGGGUGAGUAAUGUCUGGGAAACUGCCCGAUGGAGGGGGAUAACUACUGGAAACGGUAGCUAAUAC
RNAcentral lists this ribosomal RNA (173 nucleotides) under Klebsiella indica. Its description in RNAcentral is "Bacterial small subunit ribosomal RNA". It matches the Rfam family "Bacterial small subunit ribosomal RNA", at positions 1 to 169 of the family's 1533-position model. The record is from Rfam by way of RNAcentral. Lineage: Bacteria; Pseudomonadati; Pseudomonadota; Gammaproteobacteria; Enterobacterales; Enterobacteriaceae.